This 305-nucleotide ribosomal RNA is filed under the name uncultured bacterium. Its description in RNAcentral is "partial 16S ribosomal RNA". It matches the Rfam family "Bacterial small subunit ribosomal RNA", at positions 505 to 807 of the family's 1533-position model. The record is from RNAcentral.
ACAGCAGUCGCCACGGGAAUACAGAGGGUGCAAGCGUUAAUCGGAAUUACUGGGCGUAAAGCGCGCGUAGGUGGUUUGUUAAGUUGGAUGUGAAAUCCCCGGGCUCAACCUGGGAACUGCAUCCAAAACUGGCAAGCUAGAGUAUGGUAGAGGGUGGUGGAAUUUCCUGUGUAGCGGUGAAAUGCGUAGAUAUAGGAAGGAACACCAGUGGCGAAGGCGACCACCUGGACUGAUACUGACACUGAGGUGCGAAAGCGUGGGGAGCAAACAGGAUUAGAUACCCGUGUAGUCCCUGUCUCUUAUAC